UAGAUGAGUAGACUAACUGUCCAUUGUAGAAUAAUGAAGACUUUCCCCCUGAUUUGUAGCCCGUGCUAGACUGAACCAAUUGCCAACAUAAAGAAGCCCUGGGAAGAAGAUUUUGAGGACACCAGAUAAGACUUCAAUCUAAGACAGAGGGAUUUGUAUGGAAAUGCUUAGCCUCUUGCCAGAAGGAAAGGAAGUAGAAGUUUAAACAAAUGGAUCUGAAGCCUUUGGAGACGUGACUCCAAAGAACCCACUCACAGCUGAGAAUCAUUAAGAUGGCAUUCAUGUGACUUGAGAUUUUCCAUGUGUGAUGACUGCCUGUUUCAUCAAGUGACGUCAUUAGAGGCUGAAUCUACCUGUGCGCUGCAUGGCUGUGAUUUCACUACAACCAAGCUUUCCCUUGUGUGGGAAGGAAACACUAUGAACCUGCCGGGAGUUGCACAUCAGCCUCGAUUUCUCAGGAACCAGGAGCUCCAGCUUAUCAAGGACCUGAUGGUAGGUGGCCUGCAGUCCCCAGGUGCCGGGCACUGACAUCUCUGCAGAUGAGUGACUGUGGGCCACCAGGUGGGAGAGUGGCCGCGUGCUCGUCCCUGGCUGGCCAUGGAGAGCAGCUUGUCAUUUCCCACUGCCUUGCACCCUCCUCUCCUCCAGGGAGCUCUUUCUGUAGCU
Molecule: long non-coding RNA, 666 nt
Filed under: Bos indicus x Bos taurus (hybrid cattle)
Lineage: Eukaryota; Metazoa; Chordata; Mammalia; Artiodactyla; Bovidae
Description: lncRNA (ENSBIXG00000025337.1)
Source: RNAcentral